This 75-nucleotide transfer RNA is filed under the name Acinetobacter virus 133. RNAcentral describes it as "Acinetobacter phage 133 tRNA". It matches the Rfam family "tRNA". From Rfam's summary of the family: Transfer RNA (tRNA) molecules are approximately 80 nucleotides in length. Their secondary structure includes four short double-helical elements and three loops (D, anti-codon, and T loops). The record is from Rfam by way of RNAcentral. Lineage: Duplodnaviria; Heunggongvirae; Uroviricota; Caudoviricetes; Pantevenvirales; Straboviridae.
UGCGAGGUAACUUCAGCCUGGUAGAAUGAGAGGCUCAUAACCUCUUACGCGCACGUUCAAAUCGUGUCCUCGCUU